This 325-nucleotide ribosomal RNA is filed under the name uncultured eukaryote. RNAcentral describes it as "partial 18S ribosomal RNA". It matches the Rfam family "Eukaryotic small subunit ribosomal RNA", at positions 1470 to 1796 of the family's 1831-position model. The record is from RNAcentral.
CCCUUAGAUGUUCUGGGCCGCACGCGCGCUACACUGACUACUCCAACAAGUUACCUGGGCUGACAAGCAUCCGGGAAAUCUUGCAAAGGCAGUCGUGAUGGGGAUAGAUUCUUGUAAUUUUUGAUCUUCAACGAGGAAUUCCUAGUAAACGCAAGUCAUCAGCUUGCAUUGAUUACGUCCCUGCCCUUUGUACACACCGCCCGUCGCAUCUACCGAUUGAAUGGAGAGGCAAAAUCUUCGGACCGUGACGCUUGGGAGUCAAAUCUCGGGCUGUCGUGGGAAGUGGAUUAAACCUUUCUAUUUAGAGGAAGGUAAAGUCGUAACA